UUUUAACAAGCCGUGUCAACCGAAUACUUUAUUCAUAAAUAUACAUAAAAUACCAACUAACAAAAACACCUAACCUAAUUAACUCCAACUCCAAACUACAGCUAACAAUGCAUUCAGUAAGCAUUAGUGAACGAUCAACAUAUAUAUGAUUCAUAAUCAUAUCUCAUAAGACAAACACUUUGGAACAUGGGACUGAAGUAAAACACCACAUCAAAAACAACCUCAACUACAUUUAAUUAACAACAUGAAGAAAAUGAUAGAAAAAGGACACCAUAGAGAAAGACAGAAUCGUAGAGGAACAUCUAGUUGAAUCAGUAUGAUGUAGAAUAGGGGUGUACGUUACUGUUAGACUUUGAGGACUUAGAAGGAGGUAGCAAAACCAUGUUGUGAGUUGAACCCUUUAUAAAAUCAGCAAAUUGAUUCCAUAUCAUUUGCUUCACAGAACGUUUCUUUGCAGGGAACACACUUCCAUUCUUGGAUUUGUGCCAUGACUCUGUUUCUUCUGUUUUCACCACUCUCUCCAUAUUAUUAUCACUUUCU
RNAcentral lists this long non-coding RNA (540 nucleotides) under Lathyrus oleraceus (garden pea). RNAcentral describes it as "Pisum sativum (pea) long non-coding RNA (PSAT_LNC018350)". Lineage: Eukaryota; Viridiplantae; Streptophyta; Magnoliopsida; Fabales; Fabaceae. The record is from RNAcentral.